Non-coding RNA from Podarcis muralis (Common wall lizard), 593 nucleotides. The record is from RefSeq and is a predicted model, not a curated record. NCBI's taxonomy places the organism in Eukaryota, Metazoa, Chordata, Lepidosauria, Squamata, Lacertidae.
GGGCUGGUGCUUCCCACCCACCCGCUAGAAGCCACGCCUUUGGCGCGAAAGUUCCCUUGAGUCUGGCUGUGGAGUGUGAAGGGUAGGAAAGGGGAACGCGCUCUGCACAUUCUCAGAGGCGCUCUCUUCCGCUUGGCAAAACAUUUUCAGGGACUGAAGGGAGACGGUGAGCGUUUUUCCUAACGCGCGGGAGGCGAGGAGAGAGAGCCAGUGGUUUCAACAUAACUCUCCGCUUCCAGACUUUCCAUCCAGGUGUGCUUCCUUACAGUUCAAUAGAUAAAUUGACCACAAACUUCCCACCCUUUCCUCGAGCACCCAGCCAGCAGGUCUCGCUCAUGGUCCGUCCGCGACAGGUAGCCGAACCUCGUUCCUUCACCAUUGCUUUUACAGGUGCCAAAACAUCUUUGGAAUAAGUGAGGCUUCUUUUGACCCUCGUGUGUUUUAUACCUCCGGUGUCUACCACUUUGGGCGUUUCUUCUGGAAAAAACAAGCAGAUUCAAGGCUCAGAGUUGGGUUUGAUUAAGUACCCGCUGAAAAUAACGUAUGUAUCGUAUUCAUCGCUGAAGACGGCAUUGUCGCGCUCACCCUUGAAG